Molecule: ribosomal RNA, 2427 nt
Filed under: human gut metagenome
Description: bacterial LSU rRNA
Rfam family: Bacterial large subunit ribosomal RNA
Source: RNAcentral
UUAAGUAAGGAAGGGCGUACGGCGAAUGCCUUGCCACUCGAAACUGAAGAAGGACGCGCCAAACUGCGAAAAGCUCCGUGAAGCUGUAAGGAAGCGAAGAAGCGGAGGUGUCCGAAUGGGGGAACCCGGCAGCAGACAUGAGCUGUCAUCUGCAGGUGAAUACAUGGCCUGCAAGAGAGGUACCCGGCGAACUGAAACAUCUAAGUAGCCGGAGGAAAAGAAAACAACAGUGAUUCCCUGAGUAGCGGCGAGCGAAAGGGGAGAAGCCCAAACCGGUUGAAGGACCGGGGUUGAAGGACCAUGACAUGGCAAGAACGAGGAUAGGAGAACGGGAUCGAAAGCCCGGCCGAAGAAGGUGAAAGCCCUGUAACCGAAAUCCGAGUAAAGCCUAAUGGGAUCCUGAGUACGGCGAGACACGAGAAAUCUUGUCGGAAGCAGGCGGGACCAUCCGCCAAGGCUAAAUAUAAACGAGUGAGCGAUAGUGAACCAGUACCGUGAGGGAAAGGUGAAAAGAACCGCGGGAGCGGAGUGAAAGAGAACCUGAAACCGUAUGCCUACAAGAAGUCAGAGCCCGUUAAGGGGUGAUGGCGUGCCUUUUGUAGAAUGAACCGGCGAGUUGCGACAGACUGCGAGGUUAAGGAGGAAAGACCGGAGCCGAAGCGAAAGCGAGUCUUAAGAGGGCGAAAGUAGGAUGUUGCAGACCCGAAACCGGGUGAUCUAGCCAUGAGCAGGUUGAAGUUGAGGUGAAACUCAAUGGAGGACCGAACCGACUACCGUUGAAAAGUUAGCGGAUGACUUGUGGCUAGGGGAGAAAUUCCAAUCGAACCCGGAGAUAGCUGGUUCUCCCCGAAAUAGCUUUAGGGCUAGCGUCGGAAAGAACCUUAGUGAAGGUAGAGCACUGAAUGUGUGAUGGCCCCAUCCCGGGGUACUGAAUACAAUCAAACUGCGAAUGUCAUUAAGGAUGUCCGGCAGUCAGACUGUGAGUGAUAAGGUCCAUGGUCAAGAGGGAAACAGCCCAGACCGCCAGUUAAGGUCCCAAAAUACAGGCUAAGUGGAAAAGGAUGUGGGGAUGCCCAGACAACUAGGAGGUUGGCUCAGAAGCAGCCAUCCUUUAAAGAGUGCGUAACAGCUCACUAGUCGAGUGACCCUGCGCCGAAAAUGUACCGGGGCUAAGCCUGAUACCGAAACUGCGGAUUGUAGGAAACUAUAGUGGUAGGGGAGCGUUGUAUACGAGCAGAAGCCGUACCGUGAGGAGCGGUGGAUUGUAUAGAAGUGAGAAUGCCGGUGUGAGUAGCGAGAUGUAGGUGAGAAUCCUACACACCGAAAGCCCAAGGAUUCCAGGGGAAGGUUCGUCCGCCCUGGGUAAGUCGGGACCUAACGCGAGGCCGAAAGGCGUAGUGGAUGGAAAGCAGGCGAAAGAUUCCUGCACCCGUAUAUGGAGCGAAGGAGUGACGGAGACGGAUAGUGUGACCCUCUUAAUGGAUUGAGGGCGAAGCGAAGCGGCUGGUUACCAGGCAAAUCCGGUAACCAUAAGGCUAGAGCGUGACAGGUAAGCGAAAUCUUCGGAAAGUAGCGAAGCACAUGAUGACGGCUUCCAGGAAAAGCUUCUGGCAAUGCAUAUGCGGCCCGUACCAAAACCGACACAGGUGGGCAGGGAGAGAAUCCCGAGGUGAGCGAGAGAACUGUUGCCAAGGAACUCGGCAAAAUGACUCCGUAAGUUAGCGAGAAGGAGUGCUUAAGCAAUUAAGCCGCAGUGAAGAGGCCCAAGCGACUGUUUAACUAAAACACAGCUCUCUGCGAAGUCGCAAGACGAAGUAUAGGGGGUGACACCUGCCCGGUGCUGGAAGGUUAAGAGGAUCUGUUAAGAGCGAUCUGAAGCAGUGAUCCGAAGCCCCAGUGAACGGCGGCCGUAACUAUAACGGUCCUAAGGUAGCGAAAUUCCUUGUCAGGUAAGUUCUGACCCGCACGAAAGGUGUAACGAUUUGGGCGCUGUCUCGGCAGCAGACUCGGUGAAAUCUUAGUACCUGUGAAAAUGCAGGUUACCCGCAACUAGACGGAAAGACCCCAUGGAGCUUUACUGCAGCCUGAUAUUGAAUUCUGGUCAUACAUGUACAGGAUAGGUGGGAGACAAAGAGACGUGCACGCCAGUGUACGAGGAGUCGACGUUGGGAUACCACUCUUGUGUGACCGGGGUUCUAACCUGGUAUCGAGAACAGGUACGGGGAGAGUGUCAGGUGGGCAGUUUGACUGGGGCGGUCGCCUCCCAAAGAGUAACGGAGGCGCCCAAAGGUACGCUCAGAUUGGAUGGAAACCAAUCGUCGAGUGCAAUUGCAGAAGCGUGCUUGACUGUGAGACAGACAAGUCGAACAGGGACGAAAGUCGGGAAUAGUGAUCCGGCGGUGCCGAAUGGAAGGGCCGUCGCUCAAC